Molecule: ribosomal RNA, 460 nt
Filed under: uncultured bacterium
Lineage: Bacteria
Description: partial 16S ribosomal RNA
Rfam family: Bacterial small subunit ribosomal RNA
Source: RNAcentral
CCUACGGGAGGCAGCAGUGAGGAAUAUUGGUCAAUGGGCGGGAGCCUGAACCAGCCAAGUCGCGUGAGGGAAGACGGUCCUAUGGAUUGUAAACCUCUUUAGGCGGGGAGCAAUGCCGGGCACGCGUGCCCGGAGGGAGAGUACCCGCAGAAGAAGCAUCGGCUAACUCCGUGCCAGCAGCCGCGGUAAUACGGAGGAUGCGAGCGUUAUCCGGAUUGAUUGGGUUUAAAGGGAGCGUAGGCGGAUUUUUAAGUCAGCGGUAAAAUGUCCGGGCUCAACCCGGGCCGGCCGUUGAAACUGGGGAUCUUGAGUGGGCGAGCAGUAUGCGGAAUGCGUGGUGUAGCGGUGAAAUGCAUAGAUAUCACGCAGAACUCCGAUUGCGAAGGCAGCAUACCGGCGCCCGACUGACGCUGAGGCACGAAAGCGUGGGGAUCGAACAGGAUUAGAUACCCUUGUAGUC